Molecule: ribosomal RNA, 158 nt
Filed under: Rozella sp. JEL347
Lineage: Eukaryota; Fungi; Rozellomycota
Also listed under: 1 other name
Description: 5.8S ribosomal RNA
Rfam family: 5.8S ribosomal RNA
About the family: 5.8S ribosomal RNA (5.8S rRNA) is a component of the large subunit of the eukaryotic ribosome. It is transcribed by RNA polymerase I as part of the 45S precursor that also contains 18S and 28S rRNA.
Source: RNAcentral
CAACCUUUAACAAUGGAUCUCUUGGCUCCUGCAACGAUGAAGAACGCAGCGAAAUGCGAUACGUAAUGUGAUACGCAAUUGCCCGUGAGUCAUCGAAUCUUUGAACGCAUAAUGCACUUUCUAGUUUACUAGGAAGUAUAUCUGUUUGAGUAUCAUUU